AUUGCUUCUUGGCCUUUUGGCUAAGAUCAAGUGUAGUAUCUGUUCUUAUCAAUUUAAAAAACAAAUCUUAUAAUCUCUACCUUUU
Molecule: small nuclear RNA, 85 nt
Gene: U2
Rfam family: U2 spliceosomal RNA
About the family: U2 is a small nuclear RNA (snRNA) component of the spliceosome (involved in pre-mRNA splicing). Complementary binding between U2 snRNA (in an area lying towards the 5' end but 3' to hairpin I) and the branchpoint sequence (BPS) of the intron results the bulging out of an unpaired adenosine, on the BPS, which initiates a nucleophilic attack at the intronic 5' splice site, thus starting the first of two transesterification reactions that mediate splicing.
Source: Ensembl